ACUCAAUAGAUACCCCGGUAGUCCUGGCAGUAAACGGUGCACGUUUGGUGUGGGCGCAAUCGACCGCGUCCGCGCCGUAGCUAAACGCGUUAAGCGUGCCGCCUGGGAAGUACGGUCGCAAGAUUAAAACUCAAAGAAAUUGACGGGGACCCGCACAAGCGGUGGAGUAUGUGGCUUAAAUUCGAUGCAACGCGAAGAACCUUACCUGGUCUUGACAUGCAUUGUGUCUCCGCUGAAAGGCGGAUAGGGUAGCAAUACCCGCUUUGCACAGGUGCUGCAUGGCUGUCGUCAGCUCGUGUCGUGAGAUGUUGGGUUUAAGUCCCGCAACGAGCGCAACCCCUGUGAUUUGUUGCCACCCGGUUUACCGGCGCACUCGAAUCAGACUGCCUCGAUCAACGAGGUGGAA
This 406-nucleotide ribosomal RNA is filed under the name uncultured bacterium. Its description in RNAcentral is "bacterial SSU rRNA". It matches the Rfam family "Bacterial small subunit ribosomal RNA", at positions 772 to 1171 of the family's 1533-position model. The record is from RNAcentral.